UUCAAAUCCAAACUUUAUUAACCCCUCCGGUCGGAGACACUGAGCUGCGGUCUAGCCCAUGUGACGCUCAGACACGGGGGGGACGGAGGCUGUGUGGGGGAGGAGGAAUGUGCGCCCAUGUGAGAGAGAGUUAUGAAGUGCUUAGGAACUCACUUAUGAGGGACUGAAUCGUGGUGUGUCCUUACGUUGGUUCACACAGCCUGUGAGUGAGGGAGUGAGUCUGAAAUGCAUCUUUCUGUAUUUAGAAAUAUGUGUUCAUGCGCGUAUGUGUCUUGAAGAGAGAGUGAGUGAGGGAGUUUGUGAACCAGUGAGUGAGCUUUAGAAACACAUCUAUUUCGCAAAAUACUUCUGUGUGUUGAUGCUUGGAUUGUGUUUGAAAAGAGAGAGGGAGUGAGGGGGUUUAGAAACACAACUAUUUUGAUUUUCUAUGUAUUCAUGCCUGUUGAUGUUUGGAAGAGCGAGGGAGUGAGGGGGUUACAAGAAUCGCAUCACUUUCUAUGUAUUUCUAUUUAUGUGCUCAUGCCCAUUGCUGAGAAGAGAGUGAGGAAGUGAGUCAGCAAGAAGUGAGUGGGUGAGUUCAGAAACAGAUUUCUUUAUGUGUGUGUGUGUGUGUGUGUGUGUGUGUGUGUGUGUGUGUGUGUGUGUGUGUGUGUGUGUGUGUGUGUGUGUGUGUGUGUGUGUGUGUGUGUGUGUGUGU
Molecule: long non-coding RNA, 697 nt
Organism: Gadus morhua (Atlantic cod)
Lineage: Eukaryota; Metazoa; Chordata; Actinopteri; Gadiformes; Gadidae
Exons: 2
Source: RefSeq, a predicted model, not a curated record